AUACAAUGCGUUUUAGGAUAACAGUUAUCUUGAAAAUAAAUAAGUUUUUCGAGUAUAAAAGAGGUGCCAUUUUGCCAAAACGUUAAUUAUUUCUUGACAACAGACAUCGUGAGAAUCAUCAUGAGGAUCUUUUACUUUCUUGUCAUACUGGCGUGCCUGUUCACUUUGCCUGCCAUAAUGGCACAAACCACCAACGAACCGAUUACUGAGGCAGACCCUGAAAAUGCUGGUACAGAUGAGUAAA
Long non-coding RNA from Spodoptera frugiperda (fall armyworm), 244 nucleotides. RefSeq lists it as uncharacterized. The transcript has 2 exons. The record is from RefSeq and is a predicted model, not a curated record. Lineage: Eukaryota; Metazoa; Arthropoda; Insecta; Lepidoptera; Noctuidae.